Molecule: long non-coding RNA, 512 nt
Organism: Priapulus caudatus
Lineage: Eukaryota; Metazoa; Priapulida; Priapulimorpha; Priapulimorphida; Priapulidae
Exons: 3
Source: RefSeq, a predicted model, not a curated record
CUGGCAUGAUAUAGAUUUUGAAGUGUGGGUAUUACAUAAGAUUGCGGUUUUGAUAUAUGUGUGCACGCAUAUAUUAAAGGCAUGGUUAUAGUGAUAUCGGUUAGGAGAGAGAUACUGUUCGGUGGUUUUUUUUUAUAAUUGUUGCAGUUGCGGGGCAUCCAGAGAGGAGAGUACAUCGGACGAAUCUUCCGCUACACAGAGUUGGUCAAAUAUUUCGGCAGGACAUCGAGGCGGCAGUCAGUAUACCAGUUUGGCAAGGAGCGAAAAACUACCGUCAUCACUUCAGUAACGUCAACACUUUAACGACGCAAUACUUUAGCGAGAAUUCAGCAGAGUCGUCGACCUUCAAAUUUCUGAGAACAAUAUUUGUUAACACAAACACUAAGGUGUUAGCAGAUUGGCAGUGCUGGUGAACUUUUGGCAUAAACCAUUGGACAUUAUCGAAGAAAUUAAAAUGCCACAGCACAUUUUGACAAUUGCGUCCUGAAAUCAAUUAUUGCAUCGGCAUCAGA